UGCGUAGGCGGCCCUGUAAGACCGGUGUGAAAUCCCCGGGCUCAACCUGGGAAUUGCGCUGGUGACUGCAGGGCUAGAGUACGGUAGAGGGGGGUGGAAUUCCUGGUGUAGCAGUGAAAUGCGUAGAGAUCAGGAGGAACACCGAUGGCGAAGGCAGCCCCCUGGGCCUGUACUGACGCUCAUGCACGAAAGCGUGGGGAGCAAACA
This 207-nucleotide ribosomal RNA is filed under the name uncultured bacterium. Its description in RNAcentral is "partial 16S ribosomal RNA". It matches the Rfam family "Bacterial small subunit ribosomal RNA", at positions 568 to 774 of the family's 1533-position model. The record is from RNAcentral.